RNAcentral lists this ribosomal RNA (466 nucleotides) under uncultured bacterium. Its description in RNAcentral is "partial 16S ribosomal RNA". It matches the Rfam family "Bacterial small subunit ribosomal RNA", at positions 30 to 507 of the family's 1533-position model. The record is from RNAcentral.
CGAACGCUGGCGGCGUGCUUAACACAUGCAAGUCGACCGGCAAGGCCCUGCUUUUGUGGGGUGCUCGAGUGGCGAACGGGUGAGUAACACGUGAGUAACCUGCCCUUGACUUUGGGAUAACUUCAGGAAACUGGGGCUAAUACCGGAUAGGAGCUCCUGCUGCAUGGUGGGGGUUGGAAAGUUUCGGCGGUUGGGGAUGGACUCGCGGCUUAUCAGCUUGUUGGUGGGGUAGUGGCUUACCAAGGCUUUGACGGGUAGCCGGCCUGAGAGGGUGACCGGCCACAUUGGGACUGAGAUACGGCCCAGACUCCUACGGGAGGCAGCAGUGGGGAAUAUUGCACAAUGGGCGGAAGCCUGAUGCAGCAACGCCGCGUGCGGGAUGACGGCCUUCGGGUUGUAAACCGCUUUCGCCUGUGACGAAGCGUGAGUGACGGUAAUGGGUAAAGAAGCACCGGCUAACUACGUG